RNAcentral lists this long non-coding RNA (223 nucleotides) under Hordeum vulgare. RNAcentral describes it as "long non-coding RNA (HVUL_LNC005295)". Lineage: Eukaryota; Viridiplantae; Streptophyta; Magnoliopsida; Poales; Poaceae. The record is from RNAcentral.
GGCCGCACGGUGCUCGUCACGAAAUUGCUGGGGCGCAUGAGAAGGAACAAGGUUCACGAGUAGACUGUACGAGGCCGAUCCUGCUCAUCUACUACACCGAUCCUGCUCUCAAAGAGCCCGGCCAUCUCUGAACACUUGCGCCCUGGACACCUGCCUGCAGCCUGCACGAACGCACGGCAGCGAACAGCCUGGCAGCCAGCAAUCACCCGCCGAAAGCCAGCGA